RNAcentral lists this small nucleolar RNA (107 nucleotides) under Eutrema salsugineum. Its description in RNAcentral is "Plant small nucleolar RNA R71". It matches the Rfam family "Plant small nucleolar RNA R71". Rfam says of the family: R71 is a member of the C/D box family of snoRNAs containing the C (UGAUGA) and D (CUGA) box motifs. Lineage: Eukaryota; Viridiplantae; Streptophyta; Magnoliopsida; Brassicales; Brassicaceae. The record is from Rfam by way of RNAcentral.
AACCCAUGGUGUGGGCACUCUCUUCGGUACUCCUUGUACCUUACCCAAGCUUCGCAGAAAGAUUCACCAGGUUGCUGUCAGAACGACGAGAUCUUGUUCUUCAGAGC